AUGCGCAUGUGCACGAACACACACACACACACACACACAAAGACACACACAGAUACAGACACAGACACACACAAAGACACACACAUACACAUACACAGACACACACACACAACACACACACAGAGACACCCACACACAGACACACACAGACACACACAUACAGACACAGACACAGACACACACACACACAGACACACACACACACACACAGAUACAGACACAUACACACAGACACACAGAGAGACACACAAACACACACAGAGACACCCACACACAGAGACACACAAAGACACACACAAAGACACACACACAGACACACACACACUCAGACACACACAAAGACACACACACACAGAGACACACACACACAGACACACACACACACAGACACACACACAUAAACACACACACAGAAACACCCACACACAGAGACACACACACACAGACACACACAGGCACACAGAUACAAACAUACACACACAAAGACACACACAGAGACACACACACACAGAGACACACACAGGCACACAGAUACAAACAUACACACACAAAGACACACACAGACACACACACAGAGACACACACAUAGACACACACACACAGAGACACACACAGGCACACAGAGACAAACAUACACACACAGAGACACACACAGAGACACACACACAGAGACACACACAGAGACACACACACAGGCACACAGAGACAAACAUACACACACACAGACACACACACACAGAGACACACAGACACACACACACACACACACAGAAACACACACACAGAUACACACACAGACACACACACAGACGCACACACACAGACACACACACACACAGACAGACACACACAAAAACACACACAUACAGACACAUACAGAUACAGACACAGACACACACACACAGAGACACACACACACACAUACACAGACACACACACACAGGCACACAGACACAAACAUACACACACAGAAACACACAGAGACACACACACACAAAGACACACACAGACACACACACACAGACACAGAUGUACACAUACACAGAUACAUAUGUACACAUACACAGACACAAACACACACACAGAGACACACAAACACAGACACACAAACACAGACACACACACACAACACAGGGAGAAUGCCUUCACUCCUGGCCUUUUACAGCGUGA
Molecule: long non-coding RNA, 1170 nt
Filed under: Bos grunniens (domestic yak)
Lineage: Eukaryota; Metazoa; Chordata; Mammalia; Artiodactyla; Bovidae
Description: lncRNA (ENSBGRG00000019333.1)
Source: RNAcentral